Molecule: transfer RNA, 74 nt
Filed under: Treponema sp.
Lineage: Bacteria; Pseudomonadati; Spirochaetota; Spirochaetia; Treponematales; Treponemataceae
Description: tRNA-Ile
Rfam family: tRNA
About the family: Transfer RNA (tRNA) molecules are approximately 80 nucleotides in length. Their secondary structure includes four short double-helical elements and three loops (D, anti-codon, and T loops). Further hydrogen bonds mediate the characteristic L-shaped molecular structure. tRNAs have two regions of fundamental functional importance: the anti-codon, which is responsible for specific mRNA codon recognition, and the 3' end, to which the tRNAs corresponding amino acid is attached (by aminoacyl-tRNA synthetases). tRNAs cope with the degeneracy of the genetic code in two manners: having more than one tRNA (with a specific anti-codon) for a particular amino acid; and 'wobble' base-pairing, i.e. permitting non-standard base-pairing at the 3rd anti-codon position.
Source: RNAcentral
GGGCCAUUAGCUCAGUUGGUUAGAGCAGAAGACUCAUAAUCUUUUGGUCCGAGGUUCAAGUCCUUGAUGGCCCA